AAACCAUGGUGAGGGCACCUUCUCAAUAGAUCUGUGUAUCUCUCCCAUGCAUCAUAGCGUGUUUCUAGAUCCAUCUGCACAAAAGAAGAGAUGUCAUUCCUCAACUU
Gossypium arboreum is the source of this 107-nucleotide non-coding RNA. Lineage: Eukaryota; Viridiplantae; Streptophyta; Magnoliopsida; Malvales; Malvaceae. The record is from Rfam.